This 372-nucleotide ribosomal RNA is filed under the name Bacillus sp. '8.3 MW-18'. Its description in RNAcentral is "bacterial SSU rRNA". It matches the Rfam family "Bacterial small subunit ribosomal RNA", at positions 96 to 461 of the family's 1533-position model. The record is from RNAcentral. Lineage: Bacteria; Bacillati; Bacillota; Bacilli; Caryophanales; Bacillaceae.
CGGCGGACGGGUGAGUAACACGUAGGCAACCUGCCUGUAAGACCGGGAUAACUACCGGAAACGGUAGCUAAGACCGGAUAAGUGGUCUUCUCGCAUGAGAGGAUCAAGAAACACGGGGCAACCUGUGGCUUACAGAUGGGCCUGCGGCGCAUUAGCUAGUUGGUGGGGUAACGGCUCACCAAGGCGACGAUGCGUAGCCGACCUGAGAGGGUGAUCGGCCACACUGGGACUGAGACACGGCCCAGACUCCUACGGGAGGCAGCAGUAGGGAAUCUUCCGCAAUGGACGCAAGUCUGACGGAGCAACGCCGCGUGAGUGAUGAAGGUUUUCGGAUCGUAAAGCUCUGUUGCCAGGGAAGAAGUNCCCCNCCNC